Molecule: ribosomal RNA, 468 nt
Filed under: uncultured bacterium
Lineage: Bacteria
Description: partial 16S ribosomal RNA
Rfam family: Bacterial small subunit ribosomal RNA
Source: RNAcentral
GAUGAACGCUGGCGGCGUGCUUAACACAUGCAAGUCGAACGGAAAGGCCGAAGCUUGCUUCGGUACUCGAGUGGCGAACGGGUGAGUAACACGUGGGUGAUCUGCCCUGUACUUCGGGAUAAGCUUGGGAAACUGGGUCUAAUACCGGAUAUGACGAUCUCUUGGAUGGGGUUGUGGAAAGCUUUUGCGGUAUGGGAUGGGCUCGCGGCCUAUCAGCUUGUUGGUGGGGUAAUGGCCUACCAAGGCGUCGACGGGUAGCCGGCCUGAGAGGGUGUACGGCCACAUUGGGACUGAGAUACGGCCCAGACUCCUACGGGAGGCAGCAGUGGGGAAUAUUGCACAAUGGGCGCAAGCCUGAUGCAGCGACGCCGCGUGGGGGAUGACGGCCUUCGGGUUGUAAACUCCUUUCGCAAUCGACGAAGCCUUUUGGUGACGGUAGGUUGAGAAGAAGCACCGGCUAACUACGUG